This 106-nucleotide transfer RNA is filed under the name Sphaerodactylus townsendi. RNAcentral describes it as "tRNA-Leu". The record is from RNAcentral. Lineage: Eukaryota; Metazoa; Chordata; Lepidosauria; Squamata; Sphaerodactylidae.
GCCAGUGUGGUGUAGUGGUUAAGGGCACUCUAAUCUGAGAACCAGAUUUGAUGUCCUCCUCUGCACUCUGAUCUGGAGGAACCGGGUUUGAUUCCCAGCUCUGCCG